This 461-nucleotide ribosomal RNA is filed under the name uncultured bacterium. Its description in RNAcentral is "bacterial SSU rRNA". It matches the Rfam family "Bacterial small subunit ribosomal RNA", at positions 334 to 787 of the family's 1533-position model. The record is from RNAcentral.
UACUCCUACGGGAGGCAGCAGUGGGGAAUUUUGGACAAUGGGCGCAAGCCUGAUCCAGCCAUGCCGCGUGUCUGAAGAAGGCCUUCGGGUUGUAAAGGACUUUUGUCAGGGAAGAAAAGGCUGUUGCUAAUAUCGACAGCUGAUGACGGUACCUAAAGAAUAAGCACCGGCUAACUACGUGCCAGCAGCCGCGGUAAUACGUAGGGUGCGAGCGUUAAUCGGAAUUACUGGGCGUAAAGCGAGCGCAGACGGUUACUUAAGCAGGAUGUGAAAUCCCCGGGCUCAACCUGGGAACUGCGUUCUGAACUGGGUGACUAGAGUGUGUCAGAGGGAGGUAGAAUUCCACGUGUAGCAGUGAAAUGCGUAGAGAUGUGGAGGAAUACCGAUGGCGAAGGCAGCCUCCUGGGAUAACACUGACGUUCAUGCUCGAAAGCGUGGGUAGCAAACAGGAUUAGAUACCA